AUGUAUUAUGAAUGCCUUUGGUGAAUCAAAUCUAUUGUGUUUACCAAAUGUGGCAAAUGCAGAAAUAAUAAUCGUGGAUGAUCUCUGCUUUCAAGAGAAAGGACAUAUUUUUUAAAUGAUUUGUAGAAGGAAAGAAAACAAAUUUUAGAUAACUUCUGUUUCUACUGGUUAUUCUUAAAAAAUGGACAGUAUAAAAUAAGAAACUAAAUAUGAACAUAAGAAAUAUAGGGAAAUAUUUUUUUCUACUUUCUUGACCUCUUUUCUUUCACCCUUGUGAUUGAUUGUUGAAGUUCCACAUUAUGGAAGCUUGUAAGUUUGGAUAGAAUUGGAGAAAGAAAUAAUUAGAAAGCACCAAACUUCCCUUCUCCUCUGAUUUACCAGGCUGUGGUACCCACAAGUUGGGAAAGUGGAGAUAUUUUAAGGUGAAUGAGGUUUGGGACAUUGGUGUUGCAUUGAACUGGCCUCUUCAUUACCUGAAAGUCACUGGAGGGCUUUCUUGUUGCCCUAGAAUGACCAGAAGAGCUAUGGAACAUGCCCAAUAUUUUUUUCUGAGAAGAAUGAGCAAACUGCUGGAGAAAGUUUAAUAAGAACUGUUGAGAAAUAGUCAAAGAACUUCCUCCAGUCCCAACUGAGCCCAGGUCACUCAAAAAUCAGGUUACACAAAGUUAUACAACAUAUUUUUGGUGUAAUAAAUAGUUCUUGCAAAAUAUGAACAGGAAAAAAAUGUCUAACUUUUAUGUCAGGCUAUGAACUAAUACCAGGGACCACAGGGGAAAGAGAGAUAAGGACAAAUGUAUGCAUACCAGUGUGCAAUUGGUGAGAGUAUAUUACAGUGCCUGGCACAUUUCUGAUUCCCUUUCUUCCUCAGUAACAGAAUCACUUGUUUCUUUUGGGAACCCAUUUGGUGUGCUUCUAAUGGAGUUGACCCUUCUUUGGACCACUGUAUGAGUGAAGUACAUGGCCCUGACCUGGCCCCAGCCUACUAUUUCCUGAUUCAAUAUGGUUGGUUCAGAAGUGGGCACAUAUCCCAAACAGGGACAAUCUAAUUAAGUUGUUUUGUUUGUUUGUUUGUUUUGUUUUGUUUAUAGCAAUAGUUCCUCUUACUCAGUGUGCUAUUCUUGACCUUUAUAAUUAUAUGAACAAAUAAAUUAUUUUUAGUUUUCUUUUAAUGUGUGAUUAUUGUUGUCAAUGUUGCUAUGCUAUAUGUGUCACUAGCAAUCUUACUAAAUAAUAAAAACCUAGACACACACAACAUCCCUAAGAAAGUAUAUCAUAAUCUUGGGGAUGGAUGAGCUGGGAAGAGAAGAAACAUGUUAUUUGGAAAUUAAGCAUGGAUUUACAUAUGAACUUGGUUUUUAUUUUGGUAAUGAUAACUAAUUUGAUAUUUCACAUAACAGAAAAUAAAGACUAGAAGAAAGGUAAAAAAUCUUGCUAGAAACAAAAUCAAAUGACACAAAAUAUAAUUCAAGGUAAAAAACAAUUUAUAGGAUUGUAGAAAAUAUAGACACACAAUAGCAAUGAGACAGCAAAAAAAUCAAAGAACAGCAUCCUUAAACGAUAUUGUACACAGAUUUUAUGUGCCUUCAAGGAAAAAAAAUCAAUGUUAUUUAACAACUUCUAAAUUUUUUUCUACAAAUGCUUCCAACUUUAUUUACACUGCUAUUAUGAUCAUGAUAUUAAGAUUUGACAAAUAUAGAAAAAUAAAAUCACAAAUGAAUUUCCUGAAUAUAGAUGCAAAAUUCUUAAAGAAAAUCCUAAAAACUGAAAAUUAGCAAGAAAGUAAGUGAAGAAAAUAUGAUAAAUUGUGCUUCACUUCAGAAAUGCAAGGAGGGCAAAUAUUAUGAAAUUUAUAAAUAUCUUUCUCACACUAAAUCAUCAACAGGAAAAAUCAUACUGUUACCUCCUCGGUUGUCAAAACAGAUUUUAUUUUCAAAAAGUACAGUUUAUUGAAGUAUUAUUCAUCUACAAUACAACUUUGUGCAUUUGUUGAGUUUUGACAGAUUUAUUCAUGUUAUGGUUUGGAUGUGAGGUAUCCCCCAAAAGCUAUUAUAUGAGAUAAUGCAAGAAUAUUCAGAGGUGAAAUGAUUGGGUUAUGAGAGUCUUAACCUAAUCAGUAAAUAAAACCCUUGAUGGUAUUAACUGAGUGGUAACUGAAGGUGGGCUGUGCCUGGAGGAGGUAGGCAUGGGGAGCGUGAAUUGGGGGUAUAUAUUUUGUAUCUGGUGAGCGGAGUCUCUCUCUCUGCUUUCUGAUCAUCAUAUGAGCUGCUUCCCUCUGUCACUCUCUUCCCCCGUGAUGUUCAUCCUCUCUGGCCCCCAAGGAAUUGAAUCAGCCUUCUAUGAACUGAGACCUGUGAAACUGUGAGCCCUCAAACUUGUCUUCCUCUACAAUUGUUCUGGUCAGGUCUUUUAGUCACAGCAGUGAAAAAGCUGACUGAAACUCAUGUGAUCAUCACAACAAUGAAGAUGUAAAACUUUUCUAUUAUCCCCAAAACUAUCUUUCUGCCAUUAAAAGUUUCAUCAUGCUAACAUCCCCUUCCCUAAUAUAUCUAAUGUAGCCUUUUUG
Molecule: long non-coding RNA, 2563 nt
Filed under: Marmota monax (woodchuck)
Lineage: Eukaryota; Metazoa; Chordata; Mammalia; Rodentia; Sciuridae
Source: RNAcentral